This 232-nucleotide ribosomal RNA is filed under the name uncultured bacterium. RNAcentral describes it as "partial 16S ribosomal RNA". It matches the Rfam family "Bacterial small subunit ribosomal RNA", at positions 118 to 347 of the family's 1533-position model. The record is from RNAcentral.
UGAGUAACCUGCCCUUAACUCUGGGAUAAGCCUGGGAAACUGGGUCUAAUACCGGAUAUGACUCCUCAUCGCAUGGUGGGGGGUGGAAAGCUUUUUGUGGUUUUGGAUGGACUCGCGGCCCAUCAGCUUGUUGGUGAGGUAAUGGCUUACCAAGGCGACGACGGGUAGCCGGCCUGAGAGGGUGACCGGCCACACUGGGACUGAGACACGGCCCAGACUCCUACGGGAGCAG